This 407-nucleotide RNase P RNA is filed under the name Fidelibacterota bacterium. RNAcentral's name for it is "RNase P RNA component class A". It matches the Rfam family "Bacterial RNase P class A". Rfam says of the family: Ribonuclease P (RNase P) is a ubiquitous endoribonuclease, found in archaea, bacteria and eukarya as well as chloroplasts and mitochondria. Its best characterised activity is the generation of mature 5'-ends of tRNAs by cleaving the 5'-leader elements of precursor-tRNAs. Lineage: Bacteria; Pseudomonadati; Fidelibacterota. The record is from RNAcentral.
GAAGCUGGUCGGGUAGCCGCUCCAGCACGCUCUUUGAGCUGGGGAGGAAAGUCCGAACUCCGCAGGGCAGGGUGCUCCGUAAUACGGAGUCGCCGUGAGGCGGGGAAAGUGCCACAGAAACAAUACCGCCCCUAUUAGGGGGUAAGGGUGAAAUGGUGCGUCCUGCAAUUAAGCGGGAUAUCCCACAAAAAGUGGGAGAGUAAGAGCGCACCGUCCCAACUGCGAAGUUGGGAGCAGGGCAAACCCCACCCGGAGCAAGACCAAGUAGGGAAGAGGGAUUGCCCGUCCCGUUUGAUUCCCGGGUAGGUCGCUUAAUCCCGGCCGAAAGGUCGAGGGUAGAUAAAUGGCUACCAUCCCGACAGCAUAUUGUCGGGAUACAGAAUUCGGCUUAUAGACCAGCUUCAGAU